CACAGUGCCACCCCUUUGCCUUUUCUGCCCUGCCCAUCCCUCCUGAAGAGUCUGUAAUCAUCCAACAAGGCACUCCAGUUAAAGGACUCAUCCCACCAGGGGACCCCACUACCCCAGAAGGACCUUUUCCCAUCUCAUCAGUUGUCUGGCCUUCUAGUUCCAGAGCCUCAUACCUGCUGUAGAAGACUAUGUCCAGUCUCUCUUCUAAAACUCCACCUGGCUCUGUGGACUACUACCUCCUCCUCACACAUGUUCUGAGGAAAGAUCAGAAGAAUUGAACUGCACCACAGCUGAGUAACAUCUUCAAAACUUCAAGUGAAAGAAACAAGAAUGUCCUUAACUCUAAUCUUGUAAGGAACUCACUAAGAACAAACUGCAAGGCCAACAUUUUAUGAUACAGUGUGUCUUAGGAAACAAGAUGAAGCAGCUUUGGUUUCCAGUGAAAUGGAAGGAUAGCAGCAGGUCUACAGGAAGAAUUCAAGAUGCUUGCCAUAAUCCAUCUACCACAUACAGCAAACCAGGAUUUUUUCCAGGUUUAUUCAGAGCUAAUGGAAGUCUGCAACAUACAGUGAAACGUUUGUCUUGAACACCCCAUGGUGAUUUUAAUGGAGGAACAGUUGUUCACAAAGAAUCUCAAAUAACACCACGAAGCAGUGUGUUGCCAGCCACUUGGAUGGACUAUCCUAUGGAAUACCAUUGUGGGCCAAGGAACUACCCUUUUCUCUCCUUACUCAGCUCUCUGUGGAACAAGAUACAUGCAGAGGCUGAGAAAAAAAACCCCAGGGCCUAUCCACGACUUUACUUGUCUGCUACAAAAUGUGCAACCAGCUUCCUGGAUCUUGAGAUGUGCGGAAUGGAGUCCCCCAAGCUAUUUCAGGGAAGGGGACCUAAAGCCGGGACUAACACCUCACCUCGCUCUGUACAUAGAGCCUCAAAUUUCCUUCCUCUGAGCUGCACCGCAAACAUGUCCAAAUGAAGUUAAACAAAUGUUUGAACCAAUACAGGAAAGGGAUUUUAGGCAGAAAAGAGAAAUAUAGAUGUACACCAUGUGCCA
Long non-coding RNA from Pipra filicauda (Wire-tailed manakin), 1054 nucleotides. RefSeq lists it as uncharacterized. Lineage: Eukaryota; Metazoa; Chordata; Aves; Passeriformes; Pipridae. The record is from RefSeq and is a predicted model, not a curated record. The transcript has 6 exons.